UGGGUAACCUGCCCUUAACUCUGGGAUAAGCCUGGGAAACUGGGUCUAAUACCGGAUAUGACUCCUCAUCGCAUGGUGGGGGGUGGAAAGCUUUUUGUGGUUUUGGAUGGACUCGCGGCCUAUCAGCUUGUUGGUGAGGUAAUGGCUCACCAAGGCGACGACGGAUAACCGGCCUGAGAGGGCGACCGGCCACACUGGGACUGAGACACGGCCCAGACCUCCGUACGGGAGCAG
RNAcentral lists this ribosomal RNA (234 nucleotides) under uncultured bacterium. Its description in RNAcentral is "partial 16S ribosomal RNA". It matches the Rfam family "Bacterial small subunit ribosomal RNA", at positions 118 to 347 of the family's 1533-position model. The record is from RNAcentral.